GCUAGGCGCUGUGGCGCAUGCCUGUAAUCCCAGCAGCUCAGGAGGCUGAGGCAGGAGGAUCACGAGUUCAAAGCCAGCCUCAGCAACAAAGAGGUGCUAAACAACUCAGUGAGACCCAGUCUCUA
This 125-nucleotide small RNA is filed under the name Marmota monax (woodchuck). Lineage: Eukaryota; Metazoa; Chordata; Mammalia; Rodentia; Sciuridae. The record is from RNAcentral.